Molecule: ribosomal RNA, 526 nt
Filed under: Bifidobacterium pseudocatenulatum
Lineage: Bacteria; Bacillati; Actinomycetota; Actinomycetes; Bifidobacteriales; Bifidobacteriaceae
Description: bacterial SSU rRNA
Rfam family: Bacterial small subunit ribosomal RNA
Source: RNAcentral
UAAUGCCGGAUGCUCCGACUCCUCGCAUGGGGUGUCGGGAAAGAUUUCAUCGGUAUGGGAUGGGGUCGCGUCCUAUCAGGUAGUCGGCGGGGUAACGGCCCACCGAGCCUACGACGGGUAGCCGGCCUGAGAGGGCGACCGGCCACAUUGGGACUGAGAUACGGCCCAGACUCCUACGGGAGGCAGCAGUGGGGAAUAUUGCACAAUGGGCGCAAGCCUGAUGCAGCGACGCCGCGUGCGGGAUGACGGCCUUCGGGUUGUAAACCGCUUUUGAUCGGGAGCAAGCCUUCGGGUGAGUGUACCUUUCGAAUAAGCACCGGCUAACUACGUGCCAGCAGCCGCGGUAAUACGUAGGGUGCAAGCGUUAUCCGGAAUUAUUGGGCGUAAAGGGCUCGUAGGCGGUUCGUCGCGUCCGGUGUGAAAGUCCAUCGCUUAACGGUGGAUCUGCGCCGGGUACGGGCGGGCUGGAGUGCGGUAGGGGAGACUGGAAUUCCCGGUGUAACGGUGGAAUGUGUAGAUAUCGGGA